Paramuricea clavata is the source of this 680-nucleotide non-coding RNA. The record is from the annotation of a GenBank genome assembly. NCBI's taxonomy places the organism in Eukaryota, Metazoa, Cnidaria, Anthozoa, Malacalcyonacea, Plexauridae.
UGGGGCCAAGACAAUUAACCAGCAGCUUCCCCACAAAGCUUCUAUGUUACAACUUCUCAAUAGGAGCGUUGGUAACGCGACAAACAUAGCUCUAUCUUGGCAAUUUUUUUUUUAUUUUAAUUUUUUUUAAAUUAAUUUAUUCUUUCACUCAGUUUUAAGUGUUUUUGAAGAGACCCUAUAUUUGCCGAACUCUUUGUCUAUCCAAAUUGUUUGCUUGGUGAAGUAACUAAUUAAUUAAGCAUAGAGAGAUUAGAGGAUUAGAGCGUUAAUUUCCAGUUGAGACAUAAAUCUUGGAAUAGAGCCUAUGUUGGCAUAAAACUUUAUUACACUUCCCGAAUGAGAAAGUUUAUUAUUAAAAUACCGUUUGUCUGUUUUCCGGUCGAGAAAACGAUGGUGAAAUGGCAGUCGCGUUUAAUGCAGUGGACGAUAACAGACAGAACAUAUUUUUGACUUUUUUGUUUAAUAUUGUUGCAGUUUGCUUGAAAUUUUCAACGUAUCAUAAAGGAAAGUAUUCGUAUAAUACAGUUUCUUGGUUUAUUCGGUAUUGCAUUGGUUGGGUCCUCGCCUGUCUACACUACAGACCAGUUUUGAAUUAUUUGAAAUCCUUAGUUUUAUUAUACAGAUAUGAAAUUGGCAACAAUGUUGAUUGUUUAUACUGUUUAUCAUUGUGUUUCCCUCCC